RNAcentral lists this ribosomal RNA (609 nucleotides) under uncultured fungus. RNAcentral describes it as "eukaryotic LSU rRNA". The stretch from base 216 to 370 matches the Rfam family "5.8S ribosomal RNA". Lineage: Eukaryota; Fungi. The record is from RNAcentral.
AAGGAUCAUUACCGAGUUAGGGUCUCUCACGGCCCGACCUCCCAACCCCUUGUUUAAUCAUACCAUUUGUUGCUUCGGCGGGGCGGUCUCCCCAGACCGCCGGAGGGUGCACACCGCCCCUCUGGAGAGUUUUGCCCGCCGAUGGCCCCCCUUCAAAAAAAUCUUGAACCCAACCGUGACGCCUAAAUUGAUUAUUGUAUAAUGUACAAAAAUAAAACUUUCAACAACGGAUCUCUUGGUUCUGGCAUCGAUGAAGAACGCAGCGGAAUGCGAUAAGUAAUGCGAAUUGCAGAAUUUCCGUGAGUCAUCGAAUCUUUGAACGCACAUUGCGCCCUUUGGUAUUCCGAAGGGCAUGCCUGUUCGAGCGUCAUUAUCCCCCCUCAAACCUCGGGUUUGGUGUUGGACCGACGUUGGUCGUCACCCCGACCAACUGGUCUCAAAGACAAUGACGGCGUCCGUGGGACCCUCGAUACACCGAGCUUUCUUUUCGAAGCACGUACCGAGUUGCAAGGACCCACGCCCGCCGGUCGCUCUCCCCUUUUCGGAGAAAACGCGAGUUUUUUUCACAAGGUUGACCUCGGAUCAGGUAGGAAUACCCGCUGAACUUAA